RNAcentral lists this transfer RNA (78 nucleotides) under Brucella abortus. RNAcentral describes it as "tRNA-Pro". It matches the Rfam family "tRNA". From Rfam's summary of the family: Transfer RNA (tRNA) molecules are approximately 80 nucleotides in length. Their secondary structure includes four short double-helical elements and three loops (D, anti-codon, and T loops). Further hydrogen bonds mediate the characteristic L-shaped molecular structure. tRNAs have two regions of fundamental functional importance: the anti-codon, which is responsible for specific mRNA codon recognition, and the 3' end, to which the tRNAs corresponding amino acid is attached (by aminoacyl-tRNA synthetases). tRNAs cope with the degeneracy of the genetic code in two manners: having more than one tRNA (with a specific anti-codon) for a particular amino acid; and 'wobble' base-pairing, i.e. permitting non-standard base-pairing at the 3rd anti-codon position. The record is from RNAcentral. Lineage: Bacteria; Pseudomonadati; Pseudomonadota; Alphaproteobacteria; Hyphomicrobiales; Brucellaceae.
CGGAGCGUAGCGCAGUCUGGUAGCGCACCUGAUUUGGGAUCGAGGGGGUCGGAGGUUCGAAUCCUGCCGCUCCGACCA